Molecule: ribosomal RNA, 459 nt
Filed under: uncultured bacterium
Lineage: Bacteria
Description: partial 16S ribosomal RNA
Rfam family: Bacterial small subunit ribosomal RNA
Source: RNAcentral
CCUCGGGGGGCUGCAGUAAGGAAUAUUGCGCAAUGGAGGCAACUCUGACGCAGCCAUGCCGCGUGCAGGAAGAAGGCCUUAUGGGUCGUAAACUGCUUUUAUUUAGGAAUAAACCCCCGAACGUGUUCGGGGCUGAAGGUACUAAACGAAUAAGCACCGGCUAACUCCGUGCCAGCAGCCGCGGUAAUACGGAGGGUGCAAGCGUUAUCCGGAUUUAUUGGGUUUAAAGGGUGCGCAGGCGGGCUAUUAAGUCAGUGGUGAAAUCCCGGGGCUCAACUCCGGAACUGCCAUUGAUACUGAUAGUCUUGAGUUUGGUUGAAGUGGGCGGAAUGUAGCAUGUAGCGGUGAAAUGCAUAGAUAUGCUACAGAACACCAAUCGCGAAGGCAGCUCACUAAGCCAAAACUGACGCUCAUGCACGAAAGCGUGGGGAUCAAACAGGAUUAGAUACCCCCGUAGUC